UGAGGGGGGCUGCUCCUAGUACGAGAGGACCGGAGUGGACGCAUCACUGGUGUUCGGGUUGUCAUGCCAAUGGCACUGCCCGGUAGCUAAAUGCGGAAAAGAUAAGUGCUGAAAGCAUCUAAGCACGAAACUUGCCCCGAGAUGAGUUCUCCCUGAGACUAUAAGUCUCCUGAAGGAACGUUGAAGACGACGACGUUGAUAGGCCGGGUGUGUAAGCGCAGCGAUACGUUGAGCUAACCGGUACUAAUGAACCGUGAGGCUUAACCUUACAACGCCGAAG
This 280-nucleotide ribosomal RNA is filed under the name Salmonella enterica. RNAcentral's name for it is "partial 23S ribosomal RNA". It matches the Rfam family "Bacterial large subunit ribosomal RNA", at positions 2663 to 2925 of the family's 2925-position model. Lineage: Bacteria; Pseudomonadati; Pseudomonadota; Gammaproteobacteria; Enterobacterales; Enterobacteriaceae. The record is from RNAcentral.